Cricetulus griseus (Chinese hamster) is the source of this 1253-nucleotide non-coding RNA. The record is from RefSeq and is a predicted model, not a curated record. Lineage: Eukaryota; Metazoa; Chordata; Mammalia; Rodentia; Cricetidae.
ACUGUAUUUUUCUUUCUUCAUCUCCUCUUCCUCCAACAGCCUCAAGGGCUUGUUAAAUUUUUCCUCCAAUGUCUUGGCUAACUUCUUCUUCGUUGUUCCAUUCCUGUCAUUGCCAUUGCCUUUCUCCACGUCCUACUUCACUGCGCUGGGAGACAGUGGGAGAAUUUCAGUUAAAAAUCUUCAUGUGAGAGUUUUGGCUGACUAAACAAAGAGUGCACGGUCUGGUGGGGAAGACACACAUUUGGAGAUGACAGUGCUGUGACCAGGGAGCUCACACAGUGCUGCAGACCACAUGGAGGGAGGCCACACUGGGAAUGCUCAAGCAUGUUUUCUACAUUGGAAGACAUAUUUAAAAUCUCAGUAGCCCAAACUGAAAGGUGCAUGCCUGGGUGAGCACAGCCAUACCGACCACACAUACAAAAGAAAGACAUUCUCUAUCAACUCCAACCAAGCUGGAGUUGGUUCUUCCAGAGGAGCUAAGAAUGGUGACCAAUUGACUUCCAUGACACUGAAUAAGUGAUGUCUUGCUUUAUGAUAUUUGGCUUCUGUUAUUACAAAUAAUUAAUACCAGAUAAAGUUGGGCCAUGAUAAAUGCUAUGAUAAUCUCUUUAGGGCAAAGGACUGUGUGCUGUAUGAAACAUUCAAAAUUGGAUUUUUUUUUUCUACUAAGACUCUGAAACUUCAAAGGCAGCCUGAUGACUGUACAUGGAAAAGAGUUUUCUUGGAACAUGGCCAACCUUUUCUUAGUUGAUUGUUUCUGAAUUAAUCUUAUUUAAUCAUCUCUGAUGCCCUGCACUGUGGCUCCCUUUCGCACAGAUUGGAUGGUUCUCUGGCCGGACUGCACGGAGCAUGUUUCGGGAGGUAAGAUGCAGCAAACGUAAACUGAAGUGGAUGGCUCUCCUUCGAGGACAACAUUUAUUUCCGCCAGAUCCUGACUGACUUCCUGAGAGCCUACGGUUCCAGACAGCAAUCAGAGGAUAGUGUUGCUAAAUUGGUCAGCACAGAAAUUUUGAGAUUAAAACCCAAAGUCCAGAAUUCUUCAGCAGAUGGAGAAAUGGAGCCUGAAGGAGACUGACUUACAUUGAGGGUUGGCUAUGAAUUAGAGGCAGGUCAAGGCAAGAAAAGCCCAGGUCAUCCUUGACGGACUCAUAUUCUACAGGAGGUACAGAGACUUUUGUCUUUCCCGAUUCUUUCUACUCCUGGUUCCAAAUCCCAGGUUUUGCUGAUGAAAUAAACUGAGAGAUGGAGUUUAA